Molecule: ribosomal RNA, 128 nt
Filed under: uncultured eukaryote
Lineage: Eukaryota
Description: partial small subunit ribosomal RNA
Rfam family: Eukaryotic small subunit ribosomal RNA
Source: RNAcentral
CCCUGCCCUUUGUACACACCGCCCGUCGCUCCUACCGAUUCGAGUGAUCCGGUGAGCCUUUUGGACCGAGGUAGCUUGCUGCUUUGGAAAAUCAAGCAAACCACGUCACUUAGAGGAAGGAGAAGUCG